Molecule: ribosomal RNA, 253 nt
Filed under: uncultured bacterium
Lineage: Bacteria
Description: partial 16S ribosomal RNA
Rfam family: Bacterial small subunit ribosomal RNA
Source: RNAcentral
UACGUAGGUGGCAAGCGUUGUCCGGAUUUACUGGGCGUAAAGAGCGCGCAGGCGGUCGUUCAAGUCGCGUGUGAAAGCCCCCGGCUCAACUGGGGAGGGUCAUUCGAUACUGAUCGACUCGAAGGCAGGAGAGGGUAGUGGAAUUCCCGGUGUAGUGGUGAAAUGCGUAGAUAUCGGGAGGGACACCAGUGGCGAAGGCGACUACCUGGCCUGUUCUUGACGCUGAGGCGCGAAAGCUAGGGGAGCAAACGGG